AACCUGUCGCAGCGCCUUUGGGAAGCCUGGUUUAUGGUACCUGAAGGGCGCUGGCGUUACAAGGCCCCGAAACGGGGGUUGCAGUUGUGGGGGUGACUAACGAGGCUGGCUCUUGCUCUUCUGGCGUUCCCUGAGGUCGGAACCAGGAACGAGGUUCCAAAUAGCUGAAUUCAACGUGUUCUGUUCUGGGGACUGGCAGUGCACAAGCAAGUCGCUGGCCCCACCCGUAUGCAGCAUAAGGAAAUGUUGAAAAGACUGCCCGGGUCAAUAAACCUGGACGUGGCAAAUUUCAAAGAAAGUAAUUCAAACACAGGUGGGGUCCUGGCUUAUAUCUAUUGGAUUUGGCUGCCAUUUGGCAGCUGCUCGUUGGACAGGGAGAGACCAGGAGGUGACUCAGAGCCUGGAGGACAGCAGACUGCACAAACCAUGAUAAUGACCAGCAAGGAUGGAGGGAGCGUAUGAGAUGUGCCGGGCAGUGUGCUACGUCUCAGCCAACUCUAGGAGGAACUUACUUAGAAAGAGAUUCCCCACAGCAAGAUGAUAACACUGUCCUUCUAUUUUCUUCUGUAUACGGUUGGUUGGUUUGUCUGUUUGAAGAGAUGGGGUCCCACUCUGCCCCAGGCUUCAGAGGUGUGAUCCUAGCUCACUACAGCCUACAACUUCUGUGCUCAAGCGGGGGACCCUCCCACCUCAGCCUCCCGAGUAGCUGGGACUACUGGCAUGUACCACCAUGCCUGGCUAAUUUUUAUUUAUUUAUUUAUUUUUGUAGAGAUUUUUUUUGCCACUGUUUUGCCCAGGUUUGUCUCAAACUCCUGACCUCAAGCGAUCCUCCUGCCUCUUGGCCUCCCAAAGUGUUGGAUUAUAGGUGUAAGCCAGUAGUCACCGCUGUACAUGUAUUUUUAUAUAAAGUGUAA
This 914-nucleotide long non-coding RNA is filed under the name Macaca fascicularis (crab-eating macaque). Its description in RNAcentral is "lncRNA (ENSMFAG00000057273.1)". The record is from RNAcentral. Lineage: Eukaryota; Metazoa; Chordata; Mammalia; Primates; Cercopithecidae.